RNAcentral lists this ribosomal RNA (407 nucleotides) under uncultured bacterium. RNAcentral describes it as "partial 16S ribosomal RNA". It matches the Rfam family "Bacterial small subunit ribosomal RNA", at positions 30 to 526 of the family's 1533-position model. The record is from RNAcentral.
AUUGAACGCUGGCGGCAGGCCUAACACAUGCAAGUCGAGCGGAGCGGCGGACGGGUGAGUAAUGCCUAGGGAUCUGCCUGGUAGUGGGGGAUCCCGUCCGGAAAAGGGCGCUAAUACCGCACACUUGCAGAUCAGCGUAGGUCGGAUGAGCUAGUGGGUGGGGUAAAGGCCUACCAAGGCGGCGAUCCCUAACUGGCCUGAGAGGAUGAUCAGUCACACUGGAACUGAGACACUGUCCAGACUCCGACGGGAGUCAGCAGUGGUGAAUAUCGGACAAUGGGCGAAAGCCUGAUCCAGCCAUGCCGCGUGUGUGAAGAAGGUCUUCGGAUUGUAAAGCACGUUAAGUUGGGAGGCGUUACCGACAGAAUAAGCACCGGCUAACUGCGUGCCAGCAGCCGCGGUAAUAC